RNAcentral lists this long non-coding RNA (2453 nucleotides) under Homo sapiens (human). RNAcentral's name for it is "novel transcript". The record is from RNAcentral. Lineage: Eukaryota; Metazoa; Chordata; Mammalia; Primates; Hominidae.
AGAACAAAGGCCUGGAGACUGGAGCGAGCUGCGUUCUUGGGGGUGGGGGGUGGGGCGGCAGCUGGAGAGUGGGGGCUUCCCCAGCGGGAGAGGGAGGACGAUUCUGGAUGGCUUCCCUCCUUGUGGACAGAGUGAGUCUCUGCUAUGAGAAAGGUGUUCUACAUACGGCUCGGGAGCCAGCAAGUGCGUAUGAAGCCCCUUCACAUGGCUAGUGGCAUCCUAAGGACCCGGCGACAAUUAGUCAUGGCGUCAUCGAACACCAGGCUGGAGGAGGUCUUGGAUGCCACAGCUCCUUUUGAAUUUCAAAGACGUUCAAAUCCCCAUCUGGCUGUUACACUUUUAGGCUAUUGAGAGUGAAAACAAGCACUGACAUGAACACCCAACCAGCUGCCGGUGACAUCGUCCCCUUCUGAGAUCUGAGGACAUGGAUACCCAACCACCUGCCGGUGACAUCGUCUCCUUCUGAGAUCUGAGGACAUGAACACCCAACCACCUGCCGGUGAUAUCGUCCCCUUCUGAGAUCUGAGGACGUGGAUAUCCAACCACCUGCCGGUGACAUUGUCUCCUUCUGAGAUCUGAGGACAUGGACACCAAACCACCUGCCGGUGACAUUGUCUCCUUCUGAGAUCUGAGGACAUGAACACCAAACCACCUGCCAGUGACAUCGUCCCCUUCUGAGAUCUGAGGACAUGGAUACCCAACCACCUGCCGGUGACAUCGUCUCCUUCUGAGAUCUGAGGACAUGGACACCCAACCACCUGCCGGUGACAUCGUCUCCUUCUGAGAUCUGAGGACAUGAACACCCAACCACCUGCCGGUGAUAUCGUCCCCUUCUGAGAUCUGAGGACGUGGAUAUCCAACCACCUGCCGGUGACAUUGUCUCCUUCUGAGAUCUGAGGACAUGGACACCAAACCACCUGCCGGUGACAUUGUCUCCUUCUGAGAUCUGAGGACAUGAACACCAAACCACCUGCCAGUGACAUCGUCCCCUUCUGAGAUCUGAGGACAUGGAUACCCAACCACCUGCCGGUGACAUCAUCUUCUUCUGAGAUCUGAGGACAUGGACACCCAACCACCUGCCGGUGACAUCGUCUCCUUCUGAGAUCUGAGGACAUGGACACCAAACCACCUGCCGGUGACAUCGUCUCCUUCUGAGAUCUGAGGACAUGAACACCCAACCACCUGCCGGUGAUAUCGUCCCCUUCUGAGAUCUGAGGACGUGGAUAUCCAACCACCUGCCGGUGACAUUGUCUCCUUCUGAGAUCUGAGGACAUGGACACCAAACCACCUGCUGGUGACAUUGUCUCCUUCUGAGAUCUGAGGACAUGAACACCAAACCACCUGCCAGUGACAUCGUCCCCUUCUGAGAUCUGAGGACAUGGAUACCCAACCACCUGCCGGUGACAUCAUCUUCUUCUGAGAUCUGAGGACAUGGACACCCAACCACCUGCCGGUGACAUCGUCUCCUUCUGAGAUCUGAGGACAUGGACACCAAACCACCUGCCGGUGACAUCGUCUCCUUCUGAGAUCUGAGGACAUGAACACCCAACCACCUGCCGGUGACAUCGUCCCCUUCUGAGAUCUGAGGACAUUGAUACCCAGCCACCUGCCGGUGACAUCGUCUCCUUCUGAGAUCUGAGGAUAUGGACACCAAACCACCUGCCGGUGACAUCGUCUCCUUCUGAGAUCUGAGGACAUGAACACCCAACCACCUGCCGGUGACAUCGUCCCCUUCUGAGAUCUGAGGACAUGGAUACCCAACCACCUGCCGGUGACAUCGUCUCCUUCUGAGAUCUGAGGACAUGGACACCCAACCUGCUGCUGGUGACAUCGUUCCCUUCUGAGAUCUGAGGACAUGGACACCAAACCACCUGCCAGUGACAUCGUCUCCUUCUGAGAUCUGAGGACAUGGACACCAAACCUGCUGCCGGUGACAUCGUCCCCUUCUGAGAUCUGAGGACAUGGACACCCAACCACCUGCCGGUGACAUCGUCUCCUUCUGAGGUCUGAGGACAGACACUCACAUGGACACCUAAACACCUGCCGAUGAUAUUGUCUCCUUCUGAAAUCUGAGGACAUGGACACCCAACCAGCUGCUGGUGACAUCAUCUCCUUCUGAGAUCUGAGGACAGACACUCACAUAGACGCCCAAUCAGCUGCUGGUGACAUUGUCUCCUUCUGAAAUCUGAGGGUUGGAACACAUUGGCCUGGCUCAGUGUUUCUCCAUGUGGUUUUGAGACCACCUGAGUUGGAACCGAUAUGGGUUCCCAGCCUCACGCCUGGAGAGCUGGAUUUUGCGAGUGUGAGGUUAGGUCCAGCAUCUGCAUGUGUAACGAGCUCCCAGGUGUUUCGUAGAUGCAUUAGGGCUUGAGAAGCUCCUUUCUAGCACCAUCUUCCUUUUUGCGCAUGAGGGAGUUCAGGUCCAGAGAAAUAAAGCAGCAAGGUUAGUGGCA